This 214-nucleotide long non-coding RNA is filed under the name Brachypodium distachyon (stiff brome). Its description in RNAcentral is "long non-coding RNA (BDIS_LNC000021)". Lineage: Eukaryota; Viridiplantae; Streptophyta; Magnoliopsida; Poales; Poaceae. The record is from RNAcentral.
UGCAGAUAUGUCGACACAUAUAUACUUGCAGGCCGGAUCGAGUGCGCGCGGCCCAGACGAUAAGUUUUGUGUGGUCGCCUCUAGCUCGUGAUAGUGCUCAGUCAUGCAAUAUGCCCACAUACAUACAUACAUACAUACAUACAUACAUACAUACAUACAUACAUACAUACAUACAUACAUACAUACAUACAUACAUACAUACAUACAUACAUAC